AGUCGAGCGGUAGAGAGAAGCUUGCUUCUCUUGAGAGCGGCGGACGGGUGAGUAAUGCCUAGGAAUCUGCCUGGUAGUGGGGGAUAACGUUCGGAAACGGACGCUAAUACCGCAUACGUCCUACGGGAGAAAGCAGGGGACCUUCGGGCCUUGCGCUAUCAGAUGAGCCUAGGUCGGAUUAGCUAGUUGGUGAGGUAAUGGCUCACCAAGGCGACGAUCCGUAACUGGUCUGAGAGGAUGAUCAGUCACACUGGAACUGAGACACGGUCCAGACUCCUACGGGAGGCAGCAGUGGGGAAUAUUGGACAAUGGGCGAAAGCCUGAUCCAGCCAUGCCGCGUGUGUGAAGAAGGUCUUCGGAUUGUAAAGCACUUUAAGUUGGGAGGAAGGGCAUUAACCUAAUACGUUAGUGUUUUGACGUUACCGACAGAAUAAGCACCGGCUAACUCUGUGCCAGCAGCCGCGGUAAUACAGAGGGUGCAAGCGUUAAUCGGAAUUACUGGGCGUAAAGCGCGCGUAGGUGGUUUGUUAAGUUGGAUGUGAAAUCCCCGGGCUCAACCUGGGAACUGCAUUCAAAACUGANNNNNNANAGUNUGGUANAGGGNGGNGGAAUUUCCUGUGU
This 621-nucleotide ribosomal RNA is filed under the name Pseudomonas fluorescens. RNAcentral describes it as "bacterial SSU rRNA". It matches the Rfam family "Bacterial small subunit ribosomal RNA", at positions 60 to 676 of the family's 1533-position model. The record is from RNAcentral. Lineage: Bacteria; Pseudomonadati; Pseudomonadota; Gammaproteobacteria; Pseudomonadales; Pseudomonadaceae.